UACUGUUGUAAUAUAUUAUAAUGUUCCAUUGCCUUUGUUUUCCCCAAGAUCUAAUCACGUUGUUCAUUUCUCUUAGGACAAGACCAGCGCUCUGAGCCUGAGCAAUGUGGCAGGCGUUUUCUAUAUACUUGUCGGAGGUCUGGGGCUGGCCAUGAUGGUGGCUUUGAUAGAAUUCUGUUACAAAUCACGGGCAGAGUCCAAACGCAUGAAACUCACAAAGAACACCCAAAACUUUAAGCCUGCUCCUGCCACAAACACGCAGAAUUAUGCUACAUACAGAGAAGGCUACAACGUGUAUGGAACAGAGAGUGUUAAGAUCUAGGGAUCCCUUCCUACUGGAGGCAUGUGAUGAGAGGAAAUCACUGAAAACGUGGCUGCUUCAAGGAUCCUGAGCCAGAUUUCACUCUCCUUGGUGUCGGGCAUGACACGAAUAUUGCUGAUGGUGCAAUGACCUUUCAAUAGGAAAAACUGAUUUUUUUUUCCUUCAGUGCCUUAUGGAACACUCUGAGACUCGCGACAAUGCAAACCAUCAUUGAAAUCUUUUUGCUUUGCUU
This 554-nucleotide small RNA is filed under the name Pongo abelii (Sumatran orangutan). Its description in RNAcentral is "processed transcript". Lineage: Eukaryota; Metazoa; Chordata; Mammalia; Primates; Hominidae. The record is from RNAcentral.